UCUCGUAUCUUAUACUUAUUCCAAUUCAUUAAAACUUGAUGGCUCUCACUUUGACAUGGUCUUCAAGAUGUAACUCUGGCAUCUUUUUCUGUCAAUGAAAAUGCUACAAUCCUUAGUUUUGAUUAAUAUCAUUAGUAUUUGCUAUUUUAGAUCUCCGUAUUUGUCUUUUUUUUUCUUCAUGUAGUUCACCUUUGGAAAUUCUUUCGAUGAAAUCUAGCAACUGGACAACGCAUUCUAAAAUAUGCUAAUGGAAAACUAUUUGCCGGAGGCCGAUGGCUUUACCAAGCGUUUGCAUCGGGCACUGAUCAGCGUAGUCACACUUUGUCGUUUGCAAGGAGAAAACGCUAUGCAAAAAACUAAAAAGGUCCUCAACAAAGAAAAACAGUCAUCAUUUUUUUUAAAGACCCUCCGAAAGAGAGGCAGACAACAAAGCUGGUGGACACGUGGCUGGCCCCAUCCACUGCGGUUGAUGGCAUGGCAACGACGCAUCCAUAUUUGACGAAUGUCUGGGUAAGACACUUGGCAAAGCCUACGUGUUAAUGGUUUGUUCAUUUCCCUUUUGGGUCAAAUUACGAUGUAAACCAUUUAUUUUUAGUUGAAAUUUUUACUAGGGUUUCAUUUUAGCAAUAAUGUUAAGUAAUGUGGAUUGAAAUCAUCAUUUUUAUUAACAAAUAAUUAUUUAUCAUUUUCUAAGGUUGUUUUAUGGGGGAAAAUAAAAUAAUUCAAAAAAGUUGUCAUAAAUUAACAACUUUUGGCAUGCUGCCAUCUUAUGGGUAUAUAAGCUUGAGCUAUAAGGGAUAAGUCAAUAGAUACAUACUUAACAAAAUUAAUGCAUAUUAUUUUACAUGAUAAAUAGAUAUCAUACUUGUGUGAGUCCUUAGCAUUCAUUCAACAAUAAUCGGAAUUUGCGAGCGCAACGACGCCAGUUGUCAUGGUCUAACAUACCUAUACAGCUGUUCUCGCUAAGUAUUUGUCUUGCCGUCUCUCUCAUCCAUGUCAUCACCCAAGACAUCUUUACUCUUAUAAAAGAACCAAUUGGUGAUGGCGGUCUGUCACCUCGUUUGUUGUAAAGAAAAAACUUCCUCGCCUCUUUCUAUUAUCAAAAAUAAAAUUUGAUCACCUUCUUUUUCUAAUGCAAACAAUGAAACCUAUUUGGGACCAUAUUUUUGUCAAAUGGAAAAAAAAAGAAAAGAAAAACUAUUACAAAAGACUGACACGUGGAUAAUGUUUCUCACCAAAAUUGAAAUUAAAUAGACCGUGCCACUAAUAUGCAAUAGUGAUUUUAGUCUAAUUUAGUGAUUAUUCUAAUUUGUUUUAUCCAUAGCAAGGCA
This 1331-nucleotide long non-coding RNA is filed under the name Brachypodium distachyon (stiff brome). RNAcentral describes it as "long non-coding RNA (BDIS_LNC000118)". The record is from RNAcentral. Lineage: Eukaryota; Viridiplantae; Streptophyta; Magnoliopsida; Poales; Poaceae.